AAUGAACGCUGGCGGCAGGCCUAACACAUGCAAGUCGAACGAGUGGCGGACGGGUGAGUAAUGUCUGGGAAACUGCCCGAUGGAGGGGGAUAACUACUGGAAACGGUUGCUAAUACCGCAUACCAUCGGAGGUGACCAGAUGGGAUUAGCUAGUAGGUGGGGGAAAGACGCACCGAGGCGACGACCCCUAGCUGGUCUGAGAGGAUGACCAGCCACACUGGAACUGAGACACGGUCCAGACUCCUACGGGAGGGAGCCGUGGGGAAUAUUGCACAAUGGGCGCAAGCCUGAUGCAGCCAUGCCGCGUGUAUGAAGAAGGCCUUCGGGUUGUAAAGUACUUUCAGCGGGGAGGCGUUACCCGCAGAAGAAGCACCGGCUAACUCCGUGCCAGCAGCCGCGGUAAUAC
RNAcentral lists this ribosomal RNA (406 nucleotides) under uncultured bacterium. Its description in RNAcentral is "partial 16S ribosomal RNA". It matches the Rfam family "Bacterial small subunit ribosomal RNA", at positions 29 to 526 of the family's 1533-position model. The record is from RNAcentral.